This is a non-coding RNA of Callorhinus ursinus (northern fur seal), 733 nucleotides long. Lineage: Eukaryota; Metazoa; Chordata; Mammalia; Carnivora; Otariidae. The record is from RefSeq and is a predicted model, not a curated record.
CCUAAAGACAUAAGAGAGAGACUGAAAAAUAGCACAACCCGCCACAGAGGCUUAUUUUGGGUACACCUGAGGUUGAUCAAUACCUGUUUCAGAGACUGGCUGUGAAGAUUAAAAAGGAAACAUUAUUGUAAGCAAUGAGCUCAUAGUAAGCCCUAAAUAAAUGGUAUUCAUUAUUUUUAAGGUACGGUCCUUUUCUGCAUCAUUUCCAGGGCUUCUGAUUGAAUUGGAAGAUUUCCCUGACCUCUCGUGGUGAGAGUGAUGAUGAAAGCAACUAAGGAAGCCCUCCAGAAGCAAAUUAUGUAGCUGAAGCUGCAUGCUGGGAAGAAGAAAUGAAGAUGAACUUGUAAUGUUGAGUGCUGCAGGGGAGGCUAAUGGCGAGGCAUAGUGGAGCUGUUCUGGACAAGAAGGAAGCCUCAGAAGGGCCCCGAGCCUCUCCGUCAGAGAAAUAGUUGUCACCUUGGGAAAGCUUGCCAGUUCCUGCUGCCAACCAUUUUCCUUCAUGCUACUGAAAAAAACUCUCUCAAAUGCCUUAGGCCUCUCCUUGAUUUAUUUUAUUUAAGACAUUAUUCUUUUUCCUGUAUUUAAAAAGGCAAACAACAACAAACCCAACCAGGAAGUAUAUGUAGUUGCCAAAGUAGAAAAGAACAUAGAAGUAAACUGGAUAACAAUUUUGGAAAGCAGGGGUAGUAACCCAAGGUUCUGUGUUAAAUAAAGAAAAGAGAUCUAAUAUGAA